GAGCUUUUAUUUAAAAUGCAAAAAUCAACAAAAUAUUCAUUAUCGCUCAACUUAGCAUAAUUAAACAUUUAGGUGUGAAAAUCAAAUUACAAUUUGAGUAGCUAAACUCAUUGCUUGAAAAUGUGAUAAGUAAGAAAAUUGCCCACAUUUGAGUAGCGACAGGUGGUGAUGCAUUUCCCAAUGAGAGAAAACCAAACUCUUCGCCAGUAUUGAUUUAUGUAGAGGACAACAAAAAUGGUCAACAACACAACUACAUAAGAAACCAAAAAGCUCACACAAAAAUCAUAAGUACCUAUCAAACCAUCUUCUCCUUUAUAUUCUGAUAGAGUUGAUAUCGUUGAUGGUGAAUCGGUUUUGGAACAACUUUUAUGCAAUAUAGCUCCACAAAGAAAAAGAUUUCCCUCAUAACUGUUUUCAAUAAAGGUCCCAAAUUGAGCUUUUGGUUCGGGAAUACUACCUGACAAGUUGUUGUAUGCCACGCUGAAAACCUCCAAAGAGUUCAACUCUACCAACUGAUUGGGGAUUUCACCACUCAAAUUGUUGUAAGAAAGGUCCAAACUCUCAAUUUGAUGAAGUUUUGCGAAUGAUGAGGGUAUAACUCCUGUCAACUUAUUAUGCGACAAGUUUAAAGAAUAGAUUUCACUUAAGUUCCCUAAUUCUGGUGGGAUAUGACCAGUUAAGUUGUUGCAAGAUAAAUCAAUCCCGGUCAUAUAUGUAAGGAUGUUUCCCUCAUACGAUAAGAACCCACUCUUUGUUGUGAACUCUAUUACUUCUUCUAAGUAGCCUUCAGGAUAGUAAUAAUUUCCGAGAGCUCCCAAUGUUUUCACUAAUCCGUCCCCUGUUAACCUUGGACUAAUUUUCGAAUCAGUUAGAAUCUUAUUUGUUUCCGUUGAAAGGGUUAAAUUUCCCAAACAAGAAGGUAUAAUACCAGAAAACAUAUUUUGAGAAAGAUCUAUGAUGUUUAAAGAAUCCAACUUGCAUAACUGAACUGGAACUUCACCAUGAAAAUGAUUAUCUUUCAAGAGAAGAACACUCAAUGAAGAAAGUGUGCCAAUCCAUUUUGGAAUACUACCAGUCAAAUUGUUUCCUCUAAGAUCUAACGUAACCAGUGAAGAGAUAUUAUAAAAAGCGAUUGGUAGUGGGCCACUUAGUCUACUCCCGUGCAGGUGGACAUGCUUUAUGUUUAGGGUAUUAAAGCAGGACGGUAUAGAGCCAAAUAAAUUGUUUUCAGAGAGAUCCAAAAAUUCCAAGCGAUUCAAGUUGCAAAAUUCCAUUGGAAUAGAACCCUCGAAACCAUUUUGGGACAAAGCUAAUCUCUUCAAAAAUGACACAUUCCCCAUCCAUCUUGGGAGGUUUCCAUAAAACUUGUUAUUUCCGAGAUUAAUUUCCCUUAGUGAAGUUGGAAACUCAGAAAUAGAGACAUCAACAUUUGCCAUCUCCCCAGAAAAAUUAUUUCCAUCCAAAUAUAAUUUUGACAGCCCAUUUGCAUUGAGAAUCACAGGAAGCACAUGUCCACUGAGGUUGUUGUUUGAUAGUCUCAAAAUGGUCAACGAGUUUUUUGUGAUUAACUCUUCAGGUACUCUUCCAGACAAUUGAUUGUCUGAUAAAUCUAAAAUCGAUAAAUCCUUCAUGCCACUCAAACAAGGAGGGAUAUCACCUUCGAAGGCAUUCUUGGAUAAGAAUAAGUGGCUCAAAUGUGGAAAAUGUGAACACACGUUGGUUGGAAUCUGACCUUGCAAUUUGUUUUGGGAUAUGUCAAUUAAAGACACUUUAGAGUUAGGAGCUGACGGUAAUGUGAGAGGACCGGUAAAUGAAUUACCCUUCAAGAUGAGAUCUUCUAACUUCGUGUUGUUUUCUAACAACCAAGUUGGGACUGUUCCGCUGAAAUUGUUAUGAGAAAGAUCCACAUAUCUCAAGUCAUAUUGGUAGUAAAGGAAGGUAGGAAGCUUACAACUGAGCUGUUGAGAUGUUAUGCACUUUGGCAAACUAAUGACUUCCAAUUGGAACUUUGGGAUUGAGGUAUAAAAGGAAGGUUCCGUUACCAUCUUGUUUUCAUUACUCAAGAGGGCUUUGAGGUUUGAAAGGUUUGCAAAUGGUGCGAAUGACAACGGAAUUUGAAAAUGGUUUCCUGAAAUAUAUAACCCACGAAGAGAUGUCAAGUUACUGAAACAAUGAGGAAGCAUCCCCUCAAGUGCAUUCCCACUCACAUCCAACACUUCAAGGUUCCUUAGAUCACACCAUCCUGAAAAAUUUAUAAAUUCAUUGAAGAAAUUUUAAUUAAAUUUGAUCCUAUUAAACAGAAUAGGAGAUAUUAUAUCCCAAAAGGCUCAUAAAGAAGUCAAUUUGACCCAUAAAUUUAUUUACCAUGAUUAGGUAAGGGACCGAUAAGUCCACAAUCAUAUAACGACAGAGUUUUAAGAGAACUGAGUACUCCAAUGCCUUGCAAAAUGUUGGUGUUGAGAGUAGAAUGGUCAAGAUAUAAUUCCUCCACAUUGCUCGACACAUUUAAUUCUAAAGGAUGAGAAGAGGUAUUAGAUGUUAAUCAAACGUAAUCUGUUUUGGAAAAGAAAAUCAUGUUCAGAUAAUGGUAUUGUAGAUAAAAGGUUUUAACUGAUGAGAAAGCCUCCACUAAAUUUUGUAAUGGAAUGCUUCCAUCGGUGAAAACGUGAUCAAGAGACACAACUUUCAAAUUUCUCGAUCCCUUAUUUUCAGUAAGUGAAAGAAAUAUAUAAAUAUUUGUUUUCAUCGAUAAGAUAAAAUUUUAAUAGAGAAUGUCCAAAUCUUAACAUAACUAUUCAUUCAUUUUAUUAAUUAAACUAAUCCUUUAAAUAUUCUUUUAAAAAUAAUUUUAUCUUGAUUCAUAUCAGAUUUAAAUAUAUGAGCACAUUCUUUUAAAAACUCAAAUAUGUUUGAAAUCAAUUUAGCAUUUAACCUUAAUGUUAGUAUUUGGUGCUGGUAAUAGAGUUUUUUAACUCUACAAGUGAAAUUUUAAUUAAAUGUUUCUUUUUUAAUAUUUUACUAUACUAUAUAAGAUAUUUGUUAUUAUCUCAAUCCUAUUUAUGAAGUUUAGAAUUUCAUUAAUAGUACCACCCCGAUUUUUUUAAAAAACCAGAUUUUAAAAAAAAAAAUUGAUAAAAGAAAAGAAUUUCAUUAAUAGUACCCAAUAUUUUCCCUUAAACUUAAUUUACUUUGUACUCGAUUAUAAAUCUUAAGAAAUAUUUUACAAUCUAAUAAAUAAUUUUUUGAUUAAAUUCACCAUAUUAAAUCAAAAUUGUCAAAAUACAUGCUUCUGAAUUUUAAAAUUUAUGAAUUCCGAAAAAGAAUUUCAGCUUAUCAAAUUCUCUAUUUAAAUUUCACCUACAUAGUUUUUUUUUUUUGGAAAUUCUUCAAAAUCUCAUUUAUUUAAAUCAAUGGUUCGAUUAUAAAAUAGAAAAUUUUAAACUAAAAAAAAUAUUAUUUUUAUUUAAAUCUAAUGUGCAUAUUUUUCUCUUUACAAUUUUUUUUUUCAAAAUUCAAGUCUAACUAUUUAUACGGUUGAAAUUAUUUUAUUAAAUCCAUGUUCAUUACGUCAUCUUUUAGUUACAUCGCUACCAAGUUCUUUUAUUUUAAAAUGUCAACACCAAUAAAUUAUUUUUUUUAAAAAUAACAAUGUUAACAAUUGAACUUGGAUUUUAAAAUUUAAAAAAUAGAGGGAUCAAAUUCCCGAAAAUAAAAAUACAAGAAUUAAAUUACAAAUUUGUAAAGAGUACAUAGACCUAUCACAUUUUUUAAACCAAAAAAUUAACAACAUGUGCAUUUUGAAAUUUAUAAAAAGUUUAAAAAAAAAGUUUAAGCACCUCAAAAUGUAUGUUUAAAUUUCAUAAAAUUGAAGUUUUUUUUAUAUUAUUCAAAAUUGACAUUUAUUUAUUUUUGGCCAAAAAAUGCCAUUUAUUUAACUCUAAUAUGUAUUUUUAUGUUUUAUACUAUUAAAAAUAUAUGAAAUUAAAAUAUAGUUAUAUUACAUAUUUUCCCAUAAAUAUAUGUAUUUUUACUUAUAAUAUCAUUUUUUAUUGUUAUAAUUAUUUUUUAUCUCAUGAAAAUUCAAUACAUUAUUUUAAAAAAUAUAUUUAUACAAACAAAAUAAUUAUAAACAUUAAUAUUUUAAAAUGAUGAAAAUUUUAAAGAAUUUUAGUUUCAAACCAAAGUCCAAACACAUUAUAAUGGAUGAUUUAGAAAAUGUUUCACCAAACCCAUAUUUUACUUUCAAGUAUGAUAUGAUAUAACUUUAUUAAUAUUUAUGACAAUAACCGUUAUUAUAAUAUUUGACAUCAAAACUAAAUUUCUAAAUUAAAAAAAAAAGGAAGUUUAAUUAAAUGAUACCUUGGUGGAUCACCAAAUCUUUCAAUUCAUUAUAGCUCAUAUCUAGUUUCCUUAAGUUGAUAAAUGCUUCCAAAUCUAGGAAAACAAAAACAACAAAUCAAUUUCAUUAUAUUCUCUUCAAACAUGAUUAUAUUCUUGUUAAAAAGACUAAUAUUUUUACCUUUCAUAUCUAUUGAUCCUUUCAAUUGAUUGAACCUUAUGCUCAACGAUUUCAAAUUUGAAAGCUUGUUAAGGGAUGCAAAUACACUAGUAUUGAAGAGAUUUCCAUCUAAAUUAAGCUCUUCCAAGUGGGUCAACUCCAAUUUUCUACCACCAUCUACAAAAGAUUUAUAUAAUUUCAUCACUGAAAUGAAUUGGCAUAAAAUUUAAUUAUAUGUAAGAAUUUAGGUAAUUGGUUAAAUAUAAAUGCAUACCUUUAAAGGAUUGAAAGCUUUCAAUUUGAUUCCCACUUAAAUCUAGUUUCUUCAAAUUUGUUAAAUUGCUCAAUCCUAUACAUAUCCACGUACAAUUUAAAAAAUCAUUAUGUUAAUAAUUUUAAUUUCUACUUAAUAUUUUAAUGAAAUAAAAAUGAAAAAAAAAGUAAAUCUAAAACUGGAAGUGAAGAUGAAAAUCCUCAAAAGUGAAAUGUGAAUGUUCAAAUUUGAAACAAUUAAUUUUAAAAGGUUCUAGAAAGAAUUAUCAAGAAAAACAAAGUUAUAGCUUUGGUACCUAUAGUAUCUAAUGAGCCUUGCAAAUGGUUGUUGUACAAAGUCAAAGACUUUAGGCUUGAAAGCCCUUGAGGAAAGGAAAUUGUGUUGUUCCGAAAGAGAUUACCACUCAAAUCAAGUUCCUCUAAGUUUGUUGGCCUCAAUUGUGAUCCAUCUAUCAUUGGAAGAAAAUAAUAUCAUUCAAGAUAUAAAAAGUUAGGAAAAAUGAUUGUUUGAGAAGGAAGAGCCAAUUUACAAGCUUUCCCAUGAAUUGAUAACUACAUUUUACAAGUAAAACUUAAUUGAUUCAAUAUAUAAAUACUUUGUUUGAGAUACCUUCCUACUUAAUUUACUCAAUUUUGAAAUUUAAUCCCAAAUAUUGAUUACUUAUAUAUAUUCAUGAUAUGAUAAAAUCAAAUGACUUAUUGCAACAACUUUUCCUUCAACAUGAAUUUAUUUUAAAGAAUGAUAUUCUUCAAAUAAUUCCAACUUAUAUCAAUAAUUUCCAAUUUAAUGAGCCACUGAAAACCUGAUUUAUAUAUUAUAUAAUUAGUUACUACAAAACAUAAAUAAAUAAUAAUGCUCCAUUUUUGCAAUAAAAAUUCACUAAAGAAAAUACAUUUGAAGUCUGUCAUUGCCUUUUGGAAUAAGAGUCGGUCAAGAAAGUUUUGUAGAAAUACUUAUACCUUUGUUUGAGAUGCUUUCAAUGUCAUUCCAACUUAAAUCCAAGUACUUCAAGUUUGUCAAAUUAUUCAAUCCUGAAAUUCAAUCCCAAAUAUUGAUUAGUUAUAUAUAUUCAUCGUAUGGUAAAAUCAAACUUGAGCAUACAUUGAUUUUUAAAGUUAAAAAGAAACAGGUAAAAUUAGUCUACCUUGAAUAUGAUCCAGCCUUCCUUUCAACUGAUUACCGCUCAAUCUUAAAGUCUUCAAGGAUGAAAGAUUUCUCAUAUGGAACAAAAUGCUAUUCUUAAAAGAAUUCCGACUUAAAUCGAGAGUUUCCAAGUUAUUGAGUCUUGAAAGCAAUUGAAAACCUGAUAUAUAUAUAUAUAUAUAUAAUUACUUGUUAAUAGUUUUUUUUUUCUUUCUUAGCUAUAAGAAAAUUUUACUAAAGCAAAAGUGGAAUUAGAACGGAUAAAAAGAAUGGAAAACUAGGUACCAAGCCUAGAAGACCAUCCUCAAACUCCACUAUACAAAUGACUUAUUGUAACAACAUUUCCUUCAACAUGAAUUUAUUUUAAAGAAUGCUAUUCUUCAAACAAAUCCAACUUAUAUCAAUAAUUUCCAAUUUAAUGAGCCACUGAAAACCUGAUUUAUAUAUUAUAUGAUUAGUUACCACAAAACAUAAAUAAAUAAUAAUACUCCAUUUUUGCAAUAAAAAUUCACUAAAGAAACAUAUUGAAUAUAAAUAAUAAUACUCCAUUUUCCAAUUUAACAUAUUGCAACAUUAAUUUUCCCUUAAACAAAAUUUGGUUUUAAAGUAAAAAAGAAACAUAUAAAACCAGUCUACCUUGAAUAUGAAUUGACGUAUAAGUACUAUACUUAUACCUUGGUUUGAGAUGCUUUCAAUGUUGUUCCAACUUAAAUCCAAGUACUUCAAGUUUGUCAAAUUAUUCAAUCCUGAAAUUCAAUCCCAAAUAUUGAUUAGCUAUAUAUAUUCAUCGUAUGAUAAAAUCAAACUUGAACAUACAUUGAUUUUUAAAGUUAAAAAGAAACAGGCAAAAUCAGUCUACCGUGAAUAUGAUCCAGCCUUCCUUUCAACUGAUUAGCGCUCAAUCUUAAAGUCUUCAAGGAUGAAAUAUUUCUCAUAUGGAACAGAAUGGUAUUCUUCAAAGAAUUCCCACUUAAAUCAAGAGUUUCCAAGUUAUUGAGUCUUGAAAGCAAUUGAAAACCUGAUAUAUAUAUAUAUGUAUAUAUAAUUACUUGCUAAUUGUUUUCUUCUUUCUUCGCUAUAUGAAAAUUUUACUAAAGCAAAAGUGGAAUUACAACGAAUAAAAAGAACGGAAAACUUGGUACCAAGCCUAGAAGACCAUCCUCAAACUCCACUAUACAAAUAAAAACUAACACCAGACCAAACUUAAUUUACCUCUUAGAUGACUUGAUCCUUCAAAUUUGUUGAUUGAUAGAUCUAAAUACCGGAGAGAUGAAAGCUCACUCAAAGAUAACAAAAUGCUAUCAUUCAAGUAAUUUUCACUUAAGUUAAGGAUCUCCAAAUUACUCAAUGUGGAUGAUAGUUUUCCAAAGCCUGUAGAAGUGUUCUUUUAAAUAUAUACAAGUUAGUGACAUUUCUUUAAUAAAAUAAAAUAAAAUAUAAGUAAUUGUAAAUUAACAAUGGUGAGAAUAGUAGAAUAGUAAAAGAUGUAAUUAAGGAAAAAUUAAAGGCACGACCUUCAUUUUCAAGGCUACCACCUAUGACAUUUCCCGACAAAUAAAGUCUCUUCAAUUCCUCAAAAGGAAGAAACAUAGAGGCAUUGAGAUACCAAGCAUUGAGAUUCCUAUUAUCCAUGACGUAUUCCAUAUUGUCUUCCCAUUUUGUAGAAUUAAGGGAGAGUUGUAUGAGUCUCCUAGUGGUGGUGUUACACUCAACUCUUUCCCAUUUACAACAAUCUGAGCCCUUCACCUCAACCCAACUUUGCAAUUGAUUACGAUAAUUGAAGAAAGGCUUGAGAUGCAAGAGAGCGAUUCUCUCAUGCUCCAAACAAGCAUCAGUAGUACACCAACUGCAUCUUUCUAACACCAACAACAUUACUGCCAUCCUAAUAAACCAUAAGUACCAUUUCCACUCCAUCAUCAUCAUCAUCUUUCUGUUUUCACUUCUCUCUCAGCUAUAUGUUACUUUUUGUUAACUUCUAUAUGUAUAUAAUCUAAAGAAGCCUAAGCUUCUUAUUUAUAUACAAGCAGAACAUUUUGCAUCCCACUUAUUCACUAUAAUAUAAAAAUAAUAUAUAAUUAAUUAAUUCCUCAAAAAUUGGAUCAAUCUAGGCUUCUUAUUUACGUAAAUUCCUUAUUGCAAAAACUCUUGGUAGAAAUUCGUUAGGAAAGGAUGAAUGGACCACAAGAAUGCUUAUCAACUCUUGACUUUGGCGUCCAAUGCUAAAUUUAUUUUAAAAUUUCUUCAUGGAGACAAGAUGGGAUGACAAGAAUGAUAAGUUUUAAGUCAUUUAAGUUUACACAAUUUUAAUCACUCAUAAAAACAAGUAUUGACAUUCUAUUAAAGAAUUUAAACAUGGCUUAACGUUGAUUUUAAAUCUAAUGUUGAUGUUAAUCUUGAAAAAAGAAUGGCCAAAAAAAAUAUGAAAAGUGAGAGGUGGACAUAAAAUAGUGUAGUUGGGGUUAUAAAAUUCUUCAUGUAGACAUAAUAUUUUUUUAUGCCUUUUUUACACUUAUAUAGAGUUAGUCUUGACUUCGCUUUAUUAAUAGAAAUUUUAGGUCUUCAUUUUUUGUUUUAUUCAUGGACAUAAUAUUUUCUUAUUUUUAUUUUAUGGUCUAUGAUCGAGGUUUAUGACUAUCCGCUUUCAACAACGUCGUCUCAACUGUUCAAACAUACACUUGCAGGUAAAAUAAUACUUUUUAAAAUCACAAAUAUUUAAAAUAAUACAUUGCAGCUAUAUAAAUGCUUUCUUGUUUAAGAUACUAAUAAAGUAAUUAACAAAGUAAUUAUUAUACCUAUAAUAAUUCAAAAUGCCACUUGUUAUCUAAUGAAGUAUAGGGGUGCAAAUGAGACAUCCGUACCCGCAAGCUAUUCGAAUUUGGCUCAAAAAAUUUUGAAAUUGAUUCGGUAAUUAUUGAGCCGAGCUAUAGGUCGAUCCGGAUUCGAGCUUAGUAAUACUUGACUCGAGUAGUUUGAGACCCUUAUUGAACUUUUUAUAUUUUUAUAUUUUUAGAUUACAUUAUUGCUAUUAAUAUAUAUUAUUAAUCCUAAGUUUAAUUAUUGAGGCGAGCUCAAACUCGAGUACAAAAAUUGAUAAACAUAUUUAAUUUCGAGCUUAAAAAUAUAUGUUCAAUCGAGCAUCAAGCUUUGAAUUUCAAAUUAAACUUGAGUUUAACAGUAUUGAGUUCAAAUAGAUUCAAUUACACCCUACAAUAAAAUAUACCAACAAAACCUACAUUUCAUCUUUGCUAUAAAUUUUAUGUGUGUGUGUGUUUAACGUGAGUUCCAUCUAUGUCCAACUUGAUGACGAUGAAAGUUCCUAUGGUGUAAAAAGUUUUAGUUAUGUGGAAAAAUAAGGUCUUCUCUUCACACGUUUAAUAUGCUUACUUGUGUCCGUCAUUUCGAGCUUCACAUCAAUUUUCAAAAAGUUGGAAAACUUAUGUCUGCUUUUAUGAUUCUUUUAUGUGUGUGUUUAACGUGACUUCCUUGUGAGUUCCAUCUAUGUCCAACUUGAUGACAAUGAAAGUUCCUAUGGUGUAAAAAGUUUUAGUUAUGUGGAAAAUUGGUGGAAAACUUACGUCUUUUCACUUGCUUUUAUGAUUCUUUUUACAUGAUAUUACUAUAUAAUUAAAUUGAAAUACUGAUAAAUUUGAACCCAUAUGAUGUAAGUCUAGGCAACAUCUAAUUUAUUGAUAUUUAAUUAAUUAAUAUAUAUACUUUCAAUUAUAAGAAUUGAAACAUAACUUUCAAGUCAAGUGGAGUAUGCCCCUGUUACACGUCAAAAGAAGUAGAUUUUGAACUCAACAUGAAUCUGUGAGAUUUGAUGCCUAAAAUAUAGGUAUAAGGUUUCAAUUCAUGGAAAUGUUGGAAGUCUUGGAAAUUUCUUAGUCUCCUCUCUUUGGAUGUUUUUGAACAAAAAUGUUUUAAGUCUCUUCCGAUGCUAAACUUCUGAUUGGUCGUCGGUUCACUGACCCUUUGGUACACAGCAAUAUGAAGCAUUGGCCAUUCAAGGCCAUUGCUGGUCCUGGUGAUAAGCCAAUGAUUGUACUACUAUAGAUUUGAAUAUUUGUACACAUUUGAUCGGCUCUUCGUAAAUUUAAAUCUUACAAAUUCGGAUAAUAUUUGAACUUUGAAUGUAUGUUUUGUUGGUGAGAAUAUAAAGUUGAUAAAGAUUUGGUAAAUAGAGUAAAAUACUAUUUUUAUUAGAAAAAUUAUUUGGUACACUGCCAAUCGAGGUAAUUAAAACAUGUCAUAUUAUAAAUAAUAAAAUUAUGAUGACUCAAAUAUACGAACAUGUCAAAAUUUAUGUACAAUGAAUUAUUAACAUGUAAAUGUAUAAUACGGUACGCAAAAAUAAGAUAAUUGCUUGUUUUUUUAAUUGAAUUGUUAUAACAUAUUAUACAAAAUACAUUGUGAAUUAAAGCAUAAAAUGAACUUGAUAUCAAAAUAUUAAAUUUUUUUAAAAUUCAAUGAUACGAAUAAUUAUGUAAAAUAUAACAUGAUGCAAAAUAUCUUGAGAGGAAAAGAGGAAUAAAGAAUUGCAUUAUUUGUGAGGUUUUAAAAUAUUCCAGUUUUAGAUUCAAUUUUCUAGUAUGUUUGGUUUAAUUUUACAUUAGAUUUCCUUUUCAGUAUGCACUAGUGAACGCUCAGUCAGUUUAAUUUAAUUCAAAGAGAUAUUGCAUAUACAUAAUAAUGGAUUAUGAUUUUACAUUAAAUUUCAUAGAAGAAAAAGAAAUAGAUGGUUGAAAAUGAUAAAACCAUAAGAUAAAAGAGCUUUUAUUCAAAAUGCAAAAAUCAACAAAAUAUUCAUUAUCGCUCAACUUAGCAUAAUUAAACAUUUAGGUGUGGAAACAAGUCACAAUUUGAGUAGCUAAACACAUUGCUUGAAAAUGUGAUAAGUAAGAAAAUUGCCCACAUUUGAGUAGCGACAUGUGGUGAAGCAUUUCCCAACGAGAGAAAACUAAGCUCUUCACCAGUAUGGAUUUAUGUAGAGGACAACAAAAAUUGUCAACAACACAACUACAUAAGAAACCAAAAAGCUCACAAAAAAAUCAUAAGUAUCUAUCAAACCAUCUUCUCCUUUAUCUUCUGAUACAAUUGAUAUCGCUGAUGGUGAAUCGGUUUUGGAACAACUUUUAUGCAAUAUAUCUCCACAACGAAAAGGAUUUCCCUCGUAACUGUUUUCAAUAAAGGUCCCAAAUUGAGCUUUUGGUUCGGGAAUACUACCUGACAAGUUGUUAUAUGCCACGCUGAAAACCUCCAAAGAGUUCAACUCUACCAAUUGAUUGGGGAUUUCACCACACUCAAGUUGUUGUAAGAAAGGUCCAAACUCUCAAUGUGCUGAAGUUUUGAGAAUGAUGAGGGUGUAACUCCGGUCAACUUAUUGUGUGACAAGUUUAAAGAAUGGAUUUCACUCAAGUUCCCUAAUUUUGGUGGGAUAUGACCAGUUAAGUUUUUGCAAGAUAAAUCAAUCCCAGUCAUAUAUGAAAGGAUGUUGCUCUUGUACGAAUAGAACCCACUCUUUGUUGUGAACUCUAUUACUUCUUCUAAGUAGCUGUCAGGGUUGUAAGGAUUUAUACCCCUUUCCCAUUUUCUCAUCACAAUGGAUGUUGAUUCAUCCUUUUCUAUAAAUGGAAGAUAGAACCCAGUUGCUAGACUCUCUUUCUCUUUCAGUGGAAGAGAUAAAUUUCCCAAACAAGAAGGUAUAGGACCAAAAAACAUAUUUUGAGAAAGAUCUAUGAUGCUUAAAGAAUGCAACUUGCAUAACUCAAUAGGAACUUUACCAUGAAAAUGAUUAUAUUUUAGGAGAAGAACACUCAAAGAAGAAAGCGUGUAAAUCCAUUUUGGAAUACUACCUGUCAAAUUGUUUCCUCUAAGAUCUAAAGUCACUAUUGAAGAGUUAUUAUAAAAAGCAAGUGAUAGUGUGCCUCUCAGUCUAUUCCCGUGGAGGUGGACAUGCUCUAUGUAUGGUGGAUUAAAAUAUGACGGUAUAGAGCCAGAUAAAUUAUUUUGAGAAAGAUCCAAAAAUUCCAACCUGUUCAACUUUCAAAAUUCCAUUGGAAUAGAACCUUCAAAACCAUUGUUGGACAAAUUUAAUCUCCACAAAAAUGAUGCAUUCCCUAUCCAUAUUGGGAGCUUUCCAUGCAACUUGUUACUGUGAUCAAUUUCGCUUAGUGAAUUUGGAAACUCAAAAAGAAAUGUUCACACAAAGUUUUUUCCAACAUAUGUCUGUCAUUUGUGGGGUCUUGAAUUUAACAUCAAUGGUUGAAUUUUCAUAGCUAAUAUGUACGCAAAAGGCUUAGUUGGUGGAAUUUUAUGUCAGGAAAGCGUUUCUACAAUGACAUAAUUAAUUGCAUUACUUUUCAAAGAUUGACUAUUGACUUUGGUGAGCUUAUUAGGUUAAAUUCUGCUGUUGGUCACUGUUCUUUGUGAAAGUUGUAAAUUUAGUCUAUUUACUUCAAUUUGAUCAAUUUUAAUCCCUAUACAUUUUGAAUUUUAAAAUUUUAGUUGUGACCCAAACAAUAAAGUUAAAUCAAUUUAAUUAAAACCAAUUACUAGUCUUAUAUUAUGCGUACAAUUGUUGAUUUAGUCCAUACUCUCCAAUUGGAUUAUUAUAAGUACCUAUAUUUUUCAAAUUUUGAAAUUUCAGUUUUGAUGCAAAUGACAAUUCUUAGUCCGUUAACUAGAUUUUUAGUAACAUAUGGAAAUAAUAAGAUGAUAUGACAUUACACAUAUGAUAAUAUAUUUGCGUUAAAUAUAUAAACAAUGACAUAAUUAAUUGCAUUAACUUUUAGACGCUGACUAUUGACUUUUGCGUCAACCUUGAGCUUAUAUAGCCCCUACAAUAAUUUAGGUUAUGGAAAUAAUCUUACAAUUAAUGCCUGAGAAAUUAUUAUAGAUCAAUUUAUAGUUUUAAUCCCUAUAAUUACUCAAUUGAAUUAAAGAUUCUGAUUUUCUUAUUUAAUUUGAUAUAUUUUGUUCUCUUAUUAAUGUUAAUGUUAUGGAUUAGUUUUUUUUAAGACAACAUUAUUUUAUUCAAUGAAUAAUACCAUACAAUUCGGGGGGAAAAUAACAAACACUCGUUGUACUCGUUAAAGGACAAGUUCCAUCAACACAACAAAACCUUAAGCUUCAACAUUAAUAGAACAUUAUGGCAUGUUAAAAUUGGCUCUGUCACAACUCAAGCACAACAUAUCAGGAGUUAUUACAAGCACUUAAUAUGGUAAGAAAAUCAACCCCGGAUGGUCCAAAGCGGCGGGCAUAAAUCAGCAAAAGAACUGAGCAUCCACCAAACUAGAGGGGAUGCGGUGACAAAACCAACCCUAAAAUUACUCUCAAAAGCAAGACUAAAAAGCGUACUACAAGAGUAGACAAAAACUUCUAAAAGUAAAGACUUAUUAAACAAUGGAAAAAUAAACAAAAAAAACAUAUAAAACUUAAGAUAACAUGAGUCUAAACCGAGUCAUGAAAUCAUUUAUUAUUUUGAAACUCUCAAAACAUAAACAAAUUAAGAAGUCAACGAAGAGGUACCCACUUUCUAAAAGAAAGUGUUGGUGGUCGGUGGUGUUUCAAUGAUGAUAGGCAUUGUCACCUGUCCAUCACAACUUGUAAAGACAACAAAAAUACCCACAAAAUAAAUCUGUAAAUUGAAAAGAACGAAGACUCAUGGAGUGAAUGAGAAGAAGAAAAAUAAAAAGGGUUAAUAGAGAAAAAGCAGGGCGGUAACUAGUCCAGAGGCUAACACCGCUGCUAGGCUAAAAAAAAAAAGAAGCAAACAUGUUAUGGAUUAGUUAAAAUAACUAACAUCAUUGAAAAUUUCAUUACUUGGCUGAUUUGGAUUUUUUUUUUAAAAAAAAUUGAAACUAGAAACCAUAAAUGAUCUAACAUUUAGAAACCAUAAAUUGGGUUCAAUUGCUUUGCUGUCCAACUCCAUCCAUCUAAAAUCGCAAGGAUGUACCCAUGUUCAAUAUGCAGUACAGACCCAAAAAUUGACCAUAUAAUGUGGCUCAAGAGAAUUUUUGAAUGGUUUUAAAGAAUUAUGAGAACACAAUGAAUUAAGUUAAGGCAUCAUUUAUUCAGCUUGCUAUAAUGCAGGUCAUUCCAAUAAAGAAGCAUUUUUUAACUAUAUUUUCCGUUACCCCAAUAACAAUGGCACAGUAUGUUCUCCGAUGAACAUAGAACUCACCAUUUUUAGGAACACGUGUAGUUGAGGAUGAGAAUUCGGAUCAACUGUAACUUCAAAUGGUGGAAUGAAAACAUUGUCCCGAAUAUUCUGAAAAGAUUUUACAAUUCCCAUUUGCUUGUACACAUUAUACAAUCGUGGUGACUGCAGAAUUAAGUCAAAAUCAAGUGAAGAAGGUUACCUUUGACUUGAGAAAUAUAUCACAGAGAGAGAGAAAGAGAAAACAGUAAUCUGGAAAGAUGAUGCUUAAUAUGGACAUGAUACCCUAGAAACCGAUCGAUCUUAAAUUUUAAUUUCUAAAAUAUUAUUAGCUUGUGCAUACUUUCAAAUACUUUUCAUUAGAGUUACCAUAAGACUAAUUUUUCCAAUUUUAGAUGAUUCAAGAAACUAUUUGGGGGCAAUUCUUAAAUAAACAUGUCCAAACAGUAGUCAUUAACAAGAAAGCAUCCAAGAAAACCAGCAGUUAAUACUUAAAUUAACAUUAUCAAAUGGAGAUGUAAAGAAGAAAGAAUCCUACUGCAAAGCUAGAUAGCAGGAGAAUCACUAGAAUGAAGAGAAAUACUAUUGGCACUAUACCUGGAUUAACCAAACAGUAGUCUCACUAUAAAUUUCAUUGUUAAUAAACCAACUGGCCAAACUGGUCCCAUUCACUUUGUUUCCUUCCAUAUAUGGACACCCUGUACUCUGCCAUCUAGAAAAUAUAUAUAUUAUUCAGUGUAGUCAGAGGCGCAAGGAGCACUCUAGAACGUGCUAGAAUCCUUUUAUUGUACAAGGCACAUGGCGCACAAAAAAAAAAAAAAACUUGCUUAUGUUAAGGCACAUGUAUGCGUGUUUUGGUAUGUCCAUGUCUGUAUAUAUAUAAGCCGAAGAUAUAUAAUUAUAAUAAUAAACUAUAAAAGUGCUCCAGUCUGAAGUACAGAACAUGCCAAAUUUUCUUUCUUUUGUCAACCAUACCAUGCCUGGUGUUGAAUACUCAAAUAUUGAGAAGUAGAGAGUUCGAUAUUAUCCCUUUGUUACAAUUAAGAAACAAUUAAAGAGAUAGUAAAGAGAACUUCAAUUAGAAGGUCUUUUCCCCCAACAUGCACCAGGCAGGCGCUUAGCCUGAAAAGGUCAGAGGCCCUUUUACUGUCUGGUGAUAAGGCAAAAAACAUUGGACAAAGUUGGUGGGAGGAUAGAAUACUAAAAGAGCCCAAUGUUGUCACUUUUCUAAAGUAAGCUCAUAUGCUUUUUUUGUACCCAAACAAUAUCUUACCCUUUAAUUUGUACCUAAAGAAAUUAUUUCUAAUAGAAAGUUUACUUUUGUUAUGAUCAAUGUCGGAGGCCAAAACUGAUUUGGGUCAAUUAGCCGAAACAAUAACAACAAUUCCUAGGCUUCAAUAAAAUAAUUUAGACAACAAAUAAAGCUUUAAGGUUGAGUUUUGCACUGCAGCAGCAUUGGGUUUUACAACGUGAAAACCCACAUUGCAAACAAAUACCAAAGUUUCAGAUCUAUCAUAAUUUAAAAUUCUAACUAAACUAAACGCCAAGAAUGCUGAAUGCCUAAACAAAAAACAUAAGAUUAACCCAAGGACCUAAUUGGGUAUGCUAAAAUUUGUCUUGGAAUGAAAUUAAUAAUAUCCUUUCUAUUUCACUUUUUUUUUUCUUCAUAUGUUUGGUGUGAGCAUGAUACAGAUUAGACUGAUUUUAAAGUAAAAGUAAAACGAUACCAAACCUAAAUAUUCUGGUUUUUUAAAUUUUUUUAUCAGAGCCCUAUUUGAUGCAUUUUUAGUUUUGUUUUCUAAUAACAAAUGGAAAGUUAAUUUAAAAAAAAAACCUAAUCCAAUGAGUUCUUUUAUAGAUAUAAGAUAAGUCCUGCAAAGUUUUUGUUUUUUAGAAAUAAAAUUUUGUUUUUGUUUUUUACUUCUUCAUACCUAUUUUAAUAUCUAAGUUCCGGAUUCCUAACUGCCCUUUCAAUAAUAUAGUAUUCAAGAUUUGAACUUAUAUUUUUCUAUAAAAAUAUAAUGUAUUUUAUUAUUGUAUCCUACAUUCAUUAAUACUUAGUAGAAAUAACCUAAUAAAAUGAUUUUUUUCAUAUAUUAAUAGAGAUAAGAUUCGUGCAAAAUUGUUGGUUGAAAAUUCAUUAGGAAAGGAUGAUUGUAUGAAUGUACCAUCAUUAUAAGUGAGCUCAACGAUAAGCCUCCUAUCAAUCACCAGUGUGCAGAAAACAUUUGAAAUCGAAACACCCUUUCAUACAUCAUACAUCAUCAUAAGUGCGCUCAACGAUAAGCCUCCAAUCAAUCACCAGUCUACAGAAAACAUUUGAAAUCGAAACACCCCGGACAUCUCCAACAAAUCUGCCAUAACGUUAGCAUCUCUUCCAUUUUUUCUAAACAAAACCUCACUAAGCUCAUCAAAUGUGCCAAUAUUUCCAAGGCCUAGAUUUCUCAUUGAUACACCAAGAAAGCUCGACUAUGGAGUCGGAUUCAACCAUAAGCUUUCAGUCUAUAAUCCACUAGGAAUCCAAAAAGAAACACUCUCGAACACCUAAAGAACCUGAAACAUAGCAAUGACAUGACCCUUUGAAUUUCUAAGAACCUCACCUCACCACGUCGAGCUAAGAUUACCUAAUGUCUAACCUUCACGGUUAAACUUUUACCAGCCUUCACCUUACUCUUGAUAUGAUGACUAUGGAUACUCCCUUCACAAUCCCACAAACACUCCCACCAAAUUGACUCAACAAAAUUUGCACCUAUAGGUUUUCUGUUUAUAUUUGAUUUUGUUGACACAUUGCCUAAAACUACUCAUGAUCCCUCUCCAACCUAUAAAUACGAGGAUAAUGCGCUUCAACGCGCUCAAACCCACGUCCUCCUGCAUUAGCAACAAUACUCAUGUCAAUCGAGUUAAAACACAAUCAAUAGAUUUUUUUAAAAAAAAAAUCUUUAAAUGUUAUAUUAUUAUAUAAGAAAUUGAAACAUGACUUCCGUAGGUUUUAAAUCUAAUGUUGACACUAAUCUUGAAUAAGUCAUUCCACUCCCAUCUUAACUAAUGGCCAAAGAGAUAUCAAAAGUGGGAGAUGGCCAUAAAAUUGUGUAGUUUGGGUUAUAAAAUUUUUGGGCAAACUACAUAUAUUAUCAUUUAAUUAUAAUUUUUUUUUCAAUUUAAACACUUAAAGUAAAAAAUUUGUAAUUUAAGCACCCACAUUAUAUAGUUUAGUUAUUUUGAUCACUCCAGUUAAAAUAAAAAAUGGCAAACUGAAGCGACAGUUAAAAAAAUUGUAUAAUAACAAAUUUAACCCUCAAAUUUUAUAUAUUAUAUCAAUUACAUAUUACAACUAAUUUUAUAAUUAUUGAUAUUGAAUAUGUCCCUCACUACGCUAGGGAUUUUUUUUUAUAAUUUGUAUUUAAUUAAUAUUUAAAAUUAAUUUCAAAAUAUUUGAAAAUUUUAUAAUUAUUUGGUGUUAGUCCCUUUAUUAUACCCAAAUUUAGGAUUAAGCCCCUAUACUUUAAUUUUGACAUAAUUUGUUUCUUUCACUUUUAUAAUCUCAUUAAUUAUUUCAAGUAACUAACACUUUUAACAAUAUUGCCAAAUAAAAUAAUGUCAUAUUUUUUUUUCUUAAAGCCAUCACUUCUAACUAAAUCAUGACUUAAUCACUUUCUAAUUAAUCAUACUAACUUAGAUUUUUCUUUUGUUGGAAUCAGUACGUUUAAGGAAAACCCACCUUAACAUUUGUAGAUGUCUUCAACAAUUUCCUAAGCACGAUACAAUAAAGCUUGGUGUGUAUAAUUUUGUUUUAUGGAAGCUCCAAAUUAUGUUGAUUCUUGAAUGAUACGGUCUGCAUGGGUUUGUUUUGGGUGCUAUUAGUGUACUAGCACAGUUUGUAGAGGAUAAAUAUGGGAGAUUAGUAGAAAAUUCUGAUUAUGUUUUACAUGUGCAACAAGAUAAGCUAUUGGCUUCUUGGUUACUUUCAACUGUUAGUGAUGAAAUCCUAGCCUAUCUUACUAGUGCUCGUACUAGUUAUUAUAUGUGGGAAACUAUUGAAAAGAAGGGUUGCGACUAAGUCCACGGUAAAAUUGUCCAGUCAUGUGUUGUAUUCACAGAAAAAGGGUCAUUUGUUUGUUAAAGAAUAUUUGUCUAAGAUCAAGUCCAUGUGUGAUAUGUUGGUUGCAACGGGUUGUUUGAUUUCAAAUCAAGAAAUGGUUAGCAUCAUUCUUGCAAGGUUGCCAGUUGAGUGUGAAUCAGUAUGGGUAGUAGCUUCAGCUACUGGUGUGUCACUUGAUCUGUUGAUUGAGAUGCUGCUUGAUUGUGAAGCUCGAAAAUUAAGUUCUUGAAUAGUGUUCUCGUACAACCUAACAUAGCUAGUAAACAAGAUUGUGAUGAGGGUGAUCGGACCAAGGGUUCUGAUUAUAACAGUGGCUAUCAAGGGAACAAACAGACAUAUAUAGGUGGUUUUCAAUGCAAUAGAGGUUUCCAUCGAGGUUGAGGCCGUGAGGGUUGUUUUUCAAACAAUCGGCCCCAAUGCCAGUUGUGUGGUAAAAUUGGACACAUUGUCCAAAAGUGUUAUUACCGUUUUGAUGAAAGUUUUGCAGGUAUUGCUAGGAUGGUAAUAUGGUAUAGUGGGCUGCAUCUUGAUUGUUUGUUUCUCAUGCUGAGGCUAUAUUUUAAUCAUACCUAUUAUUGUUUCUUGUGUCCAGCUAUUUCAUCAUUUGCAGGCUGUUUCACUAAUCGCAUCCUAUUUACAAGUUCCCUUGUGUUAUCCUCUGCGCUUGGGUGGUUCUCGCUCAUAUAUUAAUGACCAUGCGUCUUCAAUAGACCAUGCAUCUUCUGAUUUGUCAUUGUAUACAACACUUUCAGCAAAUGUAAAGCCGGUAGAAUUUCCGCUGUUUUUAGAAGGUCAAGACACGACAAGAGCAGCAUAUGCUGUGUUCUUGUUAAACAAGGUAAGCUUUUGCAUAUUAGUAAUUUUUUUUUCCAAGAUGAAUUAUUCUCCUUUGGCAUUUUAUAUUAUAUAAUUAGUCACUACAAAACAUAAAUAAAUAAUAAUACUCCAUUUUUACAAUAAAAAUUCACUAAAGAAAAUACAUUUGAAGUCUGUCAUUGCUUUUUCGAAUAAGAGUCGGUCAAGAAAGUUAUGCGCAAAUACUUAUAUCUUUAUUUCAGAUGCUUUCAAUUCUAUUGUCACUUAAAUCCAAGUACUUUAAAUUUGUCAAAUUAUUCAAUUUUGAAAUUCAAUCCCAAAUAUUGAUCAAUUAUAUAUAUUCAUGAUAUGAUAAAAGCAAAGACAUCUUGCAACAUUAACUUUCCCUUAAACAAAAAUUGGUUUUAAAGUAAAAAAGAAACAUAUAAAACCAGUCUACCUUUAAUAUGAAUCAAUAUAUAAACACUAUACUUAUACCUUGGUUUGAGAUGCUUUCAAUAUUGUUGUCGCUUAAAUACAAGUAUUUCAAGUUUGUCAAAUCAUUCAAUCCCAAAUAUUGAUUAGUUAUAUAUGAUAUGAUAAAAUCAAACUUGAACAUGCAUUGAUUUUUAAAGUUGAAAAUUACUUGUUAAUUUUUUUUCUUUCUUACCUAUAAGAAAAUUUUACUAAAGUAAAAAUGGAAUUACAACGGAUAAAAAGAAUGGAAAACUAGGUACCAGGCCUAGAAGACCAUCCUCAAACUCCACUAUACAAAUAAAAACUAACACCAGACCAAACUUAAUUUACCUCUUAGAUGACUUGAUCCUUCAAAUUGGUUGUAUGAUAGAUCUAAAUACCGGAGAGAUGAAAGCUCACUCAAAGAUAACAAAAUGCUAUCAUUCAAGUAAUUGUAACUUAAGUCAAGGAUCUCCAAAUUACUCAAUGUGAAUGAUAGUUUUCCAAAGCCUGUAGAAGUGUUCUUUUAAAUAUAUACAAGCAGUUAGUGACUUUUCUUCAAUAAAAUAAAAUAUAAGUAAUUGUAAAUUAACAAUGAUGAGAAUAGUGGAAUAGUAAAAGAUGUAAUUAAGGAAAAAAAUAAAGGCACGACCUUCAUUUUCAAGGUUACCACCUAUGGCAUUUCCCGACAAAUAAAGUCUCUUCAAUUCCUCAAAAGGAAGAAACAUAGAGGCAUUGAGAUACCAGGCAAUGAGAUUCCUAUUAUCCAUGCUGUAUUCCCUAUUGUCUUCCCAUUUUGUAGAAAUAAGGGAGAGUUGUAUGAGUCUCCUAGUGGUGGUGUUACACUCAACUCCUUCCCAUUUACAACAAUCUGAACCCUUCACCUCAACCCAACUUUGCAAUGGAUUCCGAUAAACGAAGAAAGGCUUGAGAUGCAAGAGAGUGAUUCUCUCAUGCUCCAAACAAGCAUCAGUAGUACACCAUCUGCAUCCUUCUAACACCAACAACAUUAUUGCCAUCCUAAUAAACUAUAACCAUUUCCACUCCAUCAUCAUCAUCUCUCUGUUUGGUAUAUAUAUGGACCACAAUUCAAGUUUCAUGCUUAUAAUUAUACCAAAUCAAAGUUCAUGUAUCAAAUUGCACAUUAAAUCAAAAUUUAUGUAUACAUUUGAUAUUUAUCUCAUUUAUGGGAGAUUAACUUUCUAAUGGUAUUGUUUUGUUUACAUUAAUCCAAAUAAUUGGAAAUGAUGAAUUAGUUUAACGCAGAUUGUAAUUCUAUUAAUGUUUCUUCUCAAACUUUUGGUUGCUCUUAUUUACAUGUUUUAUUAAUUGAUAGAUUUAAAUUCUUGGAAUAUAUUCUGUUAGAAUUAAGUGCUCCGAAUUCUUAUUUAAAUAAAAUACAGUGUUAAAAUAAAAGAAAAGUAAAAUCCCUAUAGAAUUAUACUUCUUUUAUUUUUAUUUUAGAAUAAGGUUUUUUAAAUCUUUUAAACUCCAUUUAUUUGAUAUUGAUUAGAAUAAAGAGUUUCACUCCUAUUAGAAUAAAGUUUUACAAGCCUAUAAAUAGACAUAGUCUACUCCUCUUGUAAUUAAUUCAAAUUCGACAUAGUGAAUUUUCUUCUCCUCUGCCAGUGGUUUUUUCCCGAAAGGGUUUCCACGUAAAAUUUGUGUGUUCUUUAUUUUUCUAUUUCUAUUUUCUUUGCGAUAUAUUGUCAUUACCGACAUUUAUUUUCACAAAUUGGUAUUCGAGCUUCUGGGUUGUUCAUCUCAAUCACGGUAAUGAUGUCUUUGAAGUAUGAAAUUCUACUGUUGGAUCGCAACACCAGAUUCGCAUUUUGGUAGAUAAAGAUGCAGAUAGUUCUUGCACAGAUGAACUUAGAGGAAGCCCUGCUAAGGUUAGAUAAGAUGCCUUUAACAUUGAUGGAGGAAGAGAAGAAGCACAAGGAUUGAAAGGCGUUAACACAAUUACAUCUGCAUUUGUCUAACAAAAUUUUACAGGAUGUGAUAAAGGAGAAUGCCGCCACUUGAUUAUGGAAAAGGUUGGAACAACUAUGUAUGUCGAAAACUCUAACUAGUAAGCUGCAUAUGAAGCAACGUCUUUAUGCUCAUUGUUUGGAGGAAGGUGCGUCUGUUCAUGAACACUUGACAGUGUUUAAAGAAAUUCUCUCAAAUUUGGAGGCCAUGGAGGUUCAGUAUGAUAAGGAAGAUUUAGGGUUGAUUCUACUUUGUUCGUUGCCCCGUCUUAUUCAACCUUUAGAGAUAAAAUUUUCUAUAGUCGCGAGUCUCUCACAGUUGAUGAGGUUUAUAAUUCUUUAACCUCGUAUGAUAAGAUGAUGCAUCUUAUAGUUAAAACUGACUCUCAAUGAGAGGGUCUCAUUAUUCGUGAGAGAUAAGAUCGGAAUGCUAAUGAUGAUCGUGGAAGGACACAGGAACAGAAUCCUCACAGCAAAUCUAAAAGUAGAUCGAAGUUUUCAAACAGAGGUAAAACUUGUAACUUCUGCAAGAAGAAAUGGCACAUUCAAUCUGAGUGCUAUAAGCUACAGAACAAGAUCAAAAGGGAGACUGUGAAUCAAAAUAGAAAACAACCAAAAAAUUCGGUAAGGCUAAUGUUGUAGAAGACUACAGUGAUGGUGAACUUCUAGUCGCUUCUGUCAAUAAUUUUAAAGUGAGUGAGGAGUGGAUCCUUGAUUCGGGUUGCACUUUCCACAUGAGUCCCAAUAGGGAUUGGUUUACAACUUACGAAAUAGUGUCUGAAGGUGUUGUUUUAAUGGGAAAUAACACUUCAUGUAAAAUUGCAAGUGUUGGAACAAUUAAAGUUAAGAUGCUUGAUGGAGUUGUCAGAACACUUAGUGACGUACGACAUGUUCCAAAAUUGAAGAGAAAUUUAAUUUCAUUGAGUACUCUUGAUUCAAAAGGGUACAAAUACACAGCUAAAAGUGGUGUUUUGAAGAUUUCUAAAAGUUCCCUCAUUGUGAAGAAAGGACAGAGAAAGACUGCCAAGUUUUAUGUUUUGCAGGGUUCUAUUGUUACUGAUGAUGCAGCUGUCGUAUCCUCUUCCUUGUCAGAUGAUGAUAUUGCUAAACUUUGGCAUAUGCGCGUAGGGCAUAUGAGUGAGAAUGACAUGGCAGAAUUAAGCAAAAGAGGACUUCUUGAUGGGCAAUGAAUUUGCAAACUAAAGUUCUGUGAGCACUACAUUUUUGGGAAGCAAAAGAGAGUUUGAUUCACCAAAGGAAUCCAUAACACAAAGGGAAUGUUGGAGUAUAUUCAUUCUGAUCUGUGGGGGUCAUCCAAAGUACCUUUGAGAGGUGGAGCUAAUUAUAUGCUAACUUUUAUUGAUGAUUUUUCUAGAAAAGUGUGGGCGCUCUUCCUGAAGCAGAAAAGCGAUGUGUUUUUUGUAUUGAAGUCUUGGAAAACCAUGAUUGAAAAAAAAAGGGAAAGCAAAUAAAACACCUCUGCACAGACAAUGGCUUAGAGUUCUGUUCUGAUGAGUUUAAUAAAUUGUGCAAGUUAGAAGGGAUCAUGAGACACUUGAUAGUUCGUCAUACUCCACAGGAAAACGGCGUUACGGAACAAAUGAACAGAACGAUCAUGGAGAAGGUUCGAUGUAUGUUGUCAAAUACCAACUUACCAAAGUCAUUUUGGGCCGAAACAGCCUCUACUGCAUUUUUUUAAUCAACUGAUCUCUAUCCAUUGCCAUUGAGAAAAAUACUCCACAAGAGGUAUGAUCUUGUAAUCCUGCUGACUAUUCUGAUUUAAAGAUUUUUUGUUGUCCUGCGUGUGCUCAUGUUGAUAAUGAAAAAUUGGAACCGAGAUCCAUUAAAUUUGUUUUUCUUGGUUAUAAAGCUGGUGUAAAAGGGUAUAAGUUAUGAUGUCCUGAAAAUAGAAAAGUUGUGAUUAGUAGAUAUGUUGUUUUUGAUGAAACUGUUAUGCUACCUAACGUAUCUCUUAAAGAAUCUCCCAAUAAAGAAAAUCAAAAGCAGGUGGAGCAUCAGAUUAAUACAGAAUCUACAAUAGAGUCGACUACUGAAGCCAGUACAAAAAUUUAAAAUAGAGUUGCUCCUUCACCAUAAUACUCUACAUAAUACUCUAUCGCCAAAAAUAGAACUAGAAGAGACAUUAAACCUCCAAAGAAGUAUGUCGAGGUUGAUCUAGUUGCUUAUGCUUUAAAUGUGGCUAAAGAUAUAGAUGCAAAACAAGAGCCAUCUAAUUAUUCUGAGGCGGUUAGUUGUGAAGACUCAGAAAAGUGGAUGUUUGCUAUACAAGAGGAGAUGGAAUCACUCCACAAAAAUAAAACAUGGGAUCUUGUGAAACUUCCUAAAGGUAAAAAGGUUGUUCGUUGUAAAUGGGUGUUUAAAAAGAAAGAAUGGACUCCAAGAGUUGAAGAACCCAGAUAUAAAGCAAAGUUUGUUGCAAAGGGUUACAGUCAAAUUCCAGGAGUGGACUUCACAGAUGUGUUCUCUCCAGUUGUGAAGCAUAGUUUGAUUCGAGCUUUACUUGGUAUUGUGGCCAUACAUGAUUUGGAGCUUGAGCAGUUAGAUGUAAAAAUUGCAUUUUUGCAUAGAGAACUUAAAAAGGAUAUUUACAUGCAACAACCAGAGGGUUUUACAGUCUCAAAAAAAGAGGACUAUGUUUGCUUACUGAAAAAGUCUCUUUACAGUUUGAAACAGUCACCAAGACAGUGGUACAAGAGGUUUGAUUCCUUUAUGACUUCUCAUGAUUUUAAAAGAAGUAGCUUUGACAGUUGUGCUUACUUUAAGAAAAACAAUGAUGGUUCUUUUGUGUAUCCACUCUUUUAUGGUGAUGAAAUGUUGAUAGCAGCGAAAGAUAAAUGAGGGAUAAGAAAGGUCAAAGCCCAACUAAGUGAAGAAUUUGAUAUGAAAGAUUUGGGACCAACAAAGAAGAUACUUGGUAUGGAGAAUCUCAAAGAUAGAAAAGCAAGUAAAUUAUACCUAAGUCAAAAGGGGUACAUUGAGAAAGUUCUUUGCAGAUUUAAUAUGCAGAAUGCUAAGCCUGUUAGUACUCAUUUAGCAGCCCAUUUCAGACUUUCAUCGGCUUUGUCUCCACAAUCAGAUGAUGAGAUUGAGUACAUGUCACAUGUUCCAUACUCUAGUGCAGUGGGAUCUCUCAUGUAUGCUAUGGUUUGUUCACGUUCAGAUUUAUCAUAUGUAGUCAGUGCAGUUAGCAGAUACUUGGUGAAUCGGUAAAGAACAUUGGAAAGUAGUUCACUGGAUUUUAAGAUACUUACGAGGCACUACUGAUGUUUUCUUACAGUUUGGAAAAACUAGAGAUAAAGUCAUUGGGUAUGUUGAUGCUGAUUUUGCUGGAGACUUUGAUAGAAGAAGAUCUCUCACAGGUUAUGUCUUUACAAUCGGAGGUUGUGCAAUCAGUUGGAAAGCCACUUUGCAAACUACAGUUGCUUUGUCUACCACUGAAGCUAAGUACAUGGCGAUUACUGAGGCUUGUAAAGAAGCUAUUUGGUUGAAGGGACUCUUUAGUGAACUCAAUAAAGACCUUCAAAUCAAUACAGUAUUUUGCGAUAGUCAAAGUGCUAUCUUCCUUACAAAAGAUCAAAUGUUUCAUGAGAGAACAAAACACAUUGAUGUUCGAUAUCAUUUUGUUCGUGAUAUUAUUACUUGUGGUGAUAUUGUUGUGAGCAAAAUUAGUACUCAUGAAAAUCCUGCAGAUAUGAUGACUAAGUCACUUCCUAUAACCAAGUUUGAGCAUUACUUAGACUUGGUUGGUGUUCAUUGUUGAAGUUAAACCCUUAAGGGAUUUUAUGGAAUAGGUGGAAAACUUGAUUGUUGAGAGUUUGCGAUGAAGAACUUGUUCAUUAAGAAUUCGUGUCAAUGUGGAGAUUGUUAGAAUUAAGUGACCCAAAUCCUUAUUUAAAUAAAAUACAGUGGUAAAAUAAAAUAAAAGUAAAAUCCCUAUAGAAUUAUACUUUUUUUAUUUUAUUUUAGAAUAAGGUUUUUUAAAUCUUAUUAAACUCCAUCUAUUUGAUAUUGAUUAGAAUAAAGAGUUUCACUCCUAUUAGAAUAAGGUUUUACAAGCCUAUAAAUAGACAUAGUCUACUCCUCUUGUAAUUAAUUCGAAUUUGACAUGGUGAAUUUUCUUCUCCUCUGCCCGUGGUUUUUCCCGAAAGGGUUUCCACGUAAAAUCUGUGUGUUCUUUAUUUUUUUCUAUUUUUAUUUUCUUUAUGAUAUAUUGUCAUUAUCAACAUUUAUUUUCACAUAUUCUAAUUAAUUAGAUAUUUCCUUCCUUCCAAAAGCCUUUCAAAAUAGGUUUAGUUUGACCAAGAUACUCUUGUAGAAAAUUUUAGUUUUGUGGGAAAAAGAAAAACUAGAUUUACUUUUUUAUUCUAAUUGGUUUCAUAUGCAAGGUAUAUAAACUUUUGUGUCGCUUCAAUUUUUUUCCAACAUAUGUAUGUGAUUUGUGGGGUUUCAAUUUUGAAUUUUUUUUAUAAUUUAAUUAAAUUAUGAAAGUAUUUGAAAGUUUUUAAGUUGAUACAAUGUUUAGAACUACCCCAACACCCACCCAAUCCUUAAAUAGGAGGAUAAACAUGCUUCAGCACGCUCGAACUCACAUUCUCCUACAUAUAUGAUAAUACUAAUGCCAACCGAGUUAAGACUCAACUAGUCUUGAAUUUUGAAUUUUACUUCUUAUACAUUUUGAAUUUUGAAAUUUUAAUUUUGCCCAAACAGUAGCAGUUAAAUUAAUUUGAUUAAAUUUAAUUACUAGACCUAUAUUAUGCGUACGAUUAUUGAUUAGUCUAUACUCUCCAAUUGGGCAAUUCUAAGUACCUAUACUUUCUGAAUUUUGAAAUUUCAGUCUUGAUGCAAAUGACAAUUGUUAAUCCAUUAAUUAGAUUUUUAGCGAGUAAUAUGUGAAAAUAACAAACUGGCAUAACAUUACACAUAUGAUAAUAUGUUUAUUGCAAUGCAUUUGAAAAUAGCCGAAUUUAACAAAUAUCGUUAGUGAGGAUUGGAAAUUAGAGUCUAGGGAUUAAAUCCACAAGUUCAGUAAAUUACAAGAACUAAUGGUAGAAUUUAACCUUUAUAUAACCUUUAAAUUCUAACCGUGGUUUGCACACUACUCAGCCGACCAUUGGCUGUGGUGGGAACACAAACUGUUUGAAUUUGACAUCAGUGAUUGAAUUUUCAUAGCUAAUAUGUACGUUCCUUCAAUUUCUCCAUAGGAGGGAGUGGAAUACAUUAUAUAAGGUAAUAUUUGAUAUAUUCGGUAAAUGAAUAAUUGCAAGAUAUCUCAUUAUCUAGUAAAAUAAAUAAUGAAAAUUUUAUAAAUAAAUAUUAAUAAUUUUAUCUAAUAAUAAUUAAUUACUUUUUGGGACAGACUUUUUUUAGCAAAUAGAUAUUUUAUUGGCUGACAAAGUAGUAUAAAAUGAACUCCCACAGUCGCAGCAAACAUUACAACCAAAAGUAUCAGUUAGCUAAUUAGCAAGGGAGUGAGCAAGCCAUUCGCCUCACGAAACACAUUAACAAAAGAUCAAGAGCUUAAUACAGUCAAUAAAUCCAUCGAUUUCAUCGACAACCUUCUAAUACUUCCCAUGUGACAGUCCUUUAUUACUCACCCUUAUAACCCAAGACAAAUAUGACGACAAUUGUCGGAUGCUUUAAAAACUUUUUUCAAAAUACCAUAAUUUUGUACGAAGUAGUUGGAGGAAAUAAAAUAUUAUUACAUAUAUCAACAACGACCUAGUAAGUUGCAUUAACUUUUAGAUGUUGACUAUUGGCUUUUGCAUCAACCUUGAACUUACGUAGGCCCCCUACAGUAAUUUAGGUUAUGGAAAUAAUCUUGCAAAUAAUGCUUGAGACAUCAUUAUACAUCAAUUUACAGUUUUAAUUCUUAUACUUACUCAAUUGGAAUAAAGAUUUAGUUUUUCAUUUUCUUUUGAUACAAUGUCUAGAAUUACCCAUAGCCCUUUUCCAACCUUUAAAUAAGUGAAUAAUGUGCUUCAGCGUACUCGAACUCACAUCCUCUUACAUUGACAACAUUGUUGAUGCCAAUUAGUUAAUGUUAAUGCUAUACUUUAGUUAAAAAUAACUAACAUCAUUAAAAAAUUCAUUAGUUGGCUCAUGUGGAUUUUUUUUUUUCAAAAAAUUUGAAACUAAAAACCAUAAAUUCUUUAAGACUUAAAAAUUAAAAUUAGUGGUUAUUAAAAAAGAGCUAUUUUUUAUUAAAUUAUUAUUUAAAAUAAAUUUAUCUCAUCAUAAUGAUAUGAUUUUUUUUCUUUAAAAAAUCCACAUUAACCGACUAGUAGAAUUGUAUAAAGCUACCACCAAUCUCUUGGCAUGAUGGCAAAAGAUUCAGAGGUAGAGCCAGAAACUUUUUUGAGGGGCGUGAAUAAAGUUUUAUAUUUUUAUAAUAGUAAAAGUGAAAUUUUAUUAUUUUAAUAGUUUAUAUCUUUAUAAUUUUUAAAGGAUUAAAUAAAUUUUUUCUUAUUUUUGAGGGAUAAAGUAUAAGUUUAUCAUAUACUAAUUUUAAAAUUAUAAAAAGACUAAAGGUGAAAAUUUUCAUUUUAGGGGGGUGGGGCCCUGCCAGGUCCCCUUGGCUUCGCCUUGAUAAAAGUAUUAUGUUAUACGUAUAAAGUUUGAAUUUAAUCCCAAUCAAUCUCAUUUCUUAUCCCUAAUUAUAAAAUAAUAAAAUAAAUAGAGUAAUUGAUGUGAGGAGGUAAGUGUAAUAGGCCAAUUUUGACCUGGGCUAGAUUUCAAAACAAAACCCAAACCAAAUAAUAAAAGAGUCCAAGAUAAUUAAAACAAUCAAUUCAUUUUACAAACAAACCCAAAUUAGCAGCCCAAAUACAAAUUAAAACCCAAUAACCCAAAACUAGCCUUAGCCCAAUUAGCUCAACACUUAAACACAACAACAAAAAAACCCUAUCCCCCCAAGCCUCCAACGCUGCGUGACCACCUGCGCCGCACGCCAUCGUUGCCGCUCGAGGCUCGCCUAUCACCGACCAUCCACGCGUCUGACACUUGCAAAACCAAGGCAACACGUAACAACAAAGGCCAAAUAGAGGAAACAACAAGGAAACAUACAAAAAAGGAAGAAACAAAUAGUUUUGAUUCGGCUAUAAAAGCCCGAAUCUCACCCUUGUAAUUUUUUUGCGAACAUUAGAAAAUAAAAAAACAAAAACAACACUUUCAAGGUGAAUUUCUACUUUUAUUUCUAUUUUAAAUACCCAUUUGAUUCUAUAUUCAUAUUUUUAUUUUAUUUUUUUAUAUAUAUACGAAAAUAAUAAAAUAAAAAAAGGAAGAAAGGGCUCACCAGAGACGCCCCAUGACCGUGCCGUCAAAGGGCUCUUCUUCAUUGUUGCCAUCGGAUCUGAGAAGGGGUCGAGAGUCUUCCUCUUUCAUUUUUUUGGGUCGAGAGGGCUGGGCUUCCAAGGGAGCUGCGAAACGGGGGCUAAAAACGCCCUUUUGCGCAACACCGACCACCGCCCACGAUAGCGCUGCAGCGGCGACCAUGGCCGGCCAAGGGGUGGGCUGAGAGAGAGACCAAGAGAGACUGAGAGAGUUUUCUUUUUUUUAGAAAAAUGAAAGUUGAACCGUUUUUUUCUUCUUUUUUUUUGCUAUUUAUAUAGGGUAUAAUACGACGCCGUUUUGGACUUAAACACCAAUGGCCAAAACGACGCCGUUUUGCAUCAGACCCGAAAAUUGACCCGAAUGCGGCCAGGAUCUACGCGUUUUAGCUUUGAGGAGCUAUUUGCAUAUUCAGCCCUUCCGCUUUUGUAGUAUAGUGCAAUCUGGUCCUUGUUGUUUUUAUAUUUUGGCCGCAUAAUUUUUUGAUUGUUUUACUUUGGUCCGAGCUGAAACGCUGCGCAUGGGGGCUGGGAAUAUUGCCCAGUCGGUCCCUCAUUCCUUAAGCGCGCUCUAUUUCAGUCCCUAACAACCUUUUUUUUUAUUUGUAAUUUGAACCCCAAAUUCUGGGUCGAUUUUAGUAUCAUCCUUAGUCCAUUUAAUUUAUUUGUUCAUUAUUUUUUAUUUAAAAAACUCUUUUAUUAUUAUUUGUUUUAAGUUUUUUUAUUUAUCAUUUAUUUUAAAUUGUUUUACAUACUAUUUAUUUAAAAUUUUUAUAUAUUAUUCAUUUUAAACCAUUAUAUGUACAUUAUCUUUUAAAUUUUUAUAUACAUAUAUAUUUUUAAAAAAAACUGUUGUAUUUUUCUUAUUUAUUUAUUUUAAACUGUUAUUAUUAUUCAUUUUAAGUUUUUAUAUACUGUUUAUUUGAAGCCUGUUAUUAUUUAUUUUUGAAUUGUUCUUAUAAAUUAUUUACUUUAAAUUAUUAUUUACUUUGAAAUUUUUUUUGCAUAUUAUUUUGUUUUGUUUUUUUUAUUGUUAAUAUUAGUAUAAAAAAUUAUAUACAUUGUGUGAUUAUUACAGUCAUGUGUACUAUAAUUAGUUUCUUCGUGCUUUCAUAUUAUUAUCACUCAUUAACAUAACAUUUUUUUCAUAAAUUGUUAUUUUAUGUUCUAUGUUAUCAUUCCAUUUCACUUCAUCACUUCGACAGUUGCAUUCAAUUUGUAUUUACCCAUAAUAAACCGUUCUAUUUUGUCACAAAUAAAACAAAUGCACCUCGUUCAAGCAUUGUACUCACAAUUAUUCAAAACAGGGAAAAGUUUUAAAAUAAGGUAAUAUUUCGCGUUUUGGAGAUUCGAGAAAUUAUUCUCUAACUUACAGGGUUUCAAUUUUCUCGUUGAACCUAAAUAGCAAAAUAUCCUUCUAAUUUUCAAAAUUUACGAAAUUCCAAUAAAGUUAAAGGCUAACUUAUUCUCAAGGGUUCGAAGUGUCGUGUCCUAACUUACGGGAUGUGACAUUUAUUAUCUCGAGACGAGAGGAUCUUUGACAUUCGUUUCAAUUUAUUCAAGCAAAUUCUUUUAAAUUAAAAUAGCGUUAACAAAAGGGGGGUCGUGUUUUAAAUUCUUUCGAAGUUUUUCAAUUUUUAACAUUUAGACAUUAAUUAAUCAAUUGAGUACCAAUUUUGGGCGUGACGAGGGUGCUAAUCCUUCCUCGCAUGUAACUGACUCCCGAAUCUGUUUUCUCAAAUUUCAUAGACCAAAAUCACUGUUUUGAUAAAUUAAAAUAUUUUAUUAAAACAACUAAAUUAUGAGGUGACCUAAUCACACCUCAUAAAAAAAAGGAUUGGUGGCAACUCCCGUUUUAAUUUCUAUUUUCAAACCAACGUCGACCCUUUUAAAAAAAUGGCUUCAAUAUUAAGUUAUAAGUUGAAUGAAUUAAAAAUAUGUGAAAAGUGUAAAUAGAGACUCUUCAAUCUCAUUUCCUCUAAUGCUCUUUUUUUAAAAAUUUUUUUAAAAUUUUUUAUGUACCUUUUAAAUAGUUAAUGAAAAUAAAAGUAUUUUGAUAAUUUUCACUUCGAAAUGCAAAAGCCAAAAACAGUUUUUGACUACAAAAGCGGUGUGUUCUUCAUCACUUCUCAGUGGAAAAACACUUCUGCAGUGUAAAAAAACUUUUAACCCAAAACGGCUUUUUCACCACAAUAGAGAAUGCACCCUAAAAUUGUAAAUAGAAAAAAGAAGGAUCAAACAUUGUUUCUACCCUGUUUUUGUCUCCUCUUUGAAAAUACUUUCCAAAAAGUUUUAUCAUUUUUUUUUCUGUUUACAAAUUCCUUAUAGAAGCGCUUUCUUUUGAUCCACUUGCAUCAUUGUAAUAAGUUUGCAUUGCAUUCUAACUUUCUAUGUUGAUUACAGUUUAUUAAGUUUUCUGUUGGAUCUUAUAGUCAAAUUCCUGUACAUCAUGUAUGUUAAUUUGCUUAGCCCUGAUAAAUGUUAGAUAUAGGAUUAUCAGUGUCGAAACCACUUUUUUGGCGGACAAAAAUUAGUUGUUGACUUUAAAAACGAAAAUUGGAGUCGCCAUCGAUCCUUUAUUGGGGUGUGAUCGGCUCACCUUAAAAACGAUUUUGGUCUGCAAAAUUUGAGAAAACAGGUUCGGGAGUCGGUUACGCACGAGAAAGAGUUAGCACCCUCUUAACACCCAAAAUUGGUACCGAAUUAAUUAAUUAAGGUCUUAAUGCCGAAUAUCGAAAAUCCGUGAAGAAUUUAAAAAUACGAUCCUCCCUUUUUGUUAAUGUUAAUUUUAUAAAAGAUGCUUGGAUAAAUCGAAGCGAAUGCUAAAGACCUUUUUGUCUUGGAAUAAUAAAAUGUCACACCCAAUACGUUAGGACACGACAUUUUAGUCCUCGAGAAUAAGCUUGUCUUUUGAUUUUCAAAGCUCGUGCGGUGAAGUUUAAAAAGGAUAUUCAAUUGCUUUAAUUUAGAUGAAAAAUCAGAGCCCAAUACGUUAGGGCACAAUUUCUCAAAAUUCCGAGCAUUGAAUAUUGCCCUUAUUAUUAUUAAUUUUUUAAAUCUUAAUCUCGAGAAAAUGACAUGUCAUAUCCAAUACGUUAGGACACGACGUAUCGAAUUCCCGAGAAUGAGCUUUUUAUUUAUGCUUUAAUUAAAAAAGGAUACCCGGUUUCUUAUUUGGGCUUAGGUCAAAGCUACUGCAUGAUUUUGCAACUGUCAUUGCUUACGACAUCAUUGAAUUUGCUUAAUCUGGUUUGUCUUCUUUUUGGCCAUAUUUUUCGACAGGUAAUGGUGGCUGCCCUAUAAGUCCAUCUGGAGGGUAUUUUGUAUUGUAAACAUCACUUCUCCCAGCUUUUCAAAGAGAAAGGAAGUAACAAUCAUCUUAUCAAGUCUGCGUCUGUUCCAGAAGCUUGAAUUCAAUUGUUCAUCAUGUAUUUACUUCUUGCCCUGUGCUGAUUUAUGCUUAUGGCUUAACAUUCAUCGGCGUAUAUGUUACAGUAUUUGAUUUAUCUAUGGGAUCAGAAAUGCAUUUCCCAAGCUUGUAAAAUGACACUUGCAAGCUGCAAUGCUAUAUUACCAUAUGUAGCUAUGUGAAUAUUUUCGUUUCUUUGAAGUCCCAUGAUCAUGUAAGCCGGCAUCUGAGUUCGAGUAACAUAGGCAAAUAAAAUUGUAAGCUUAUGAGAUUUCUUUUCAUUAAUUAAUCAACAAUAGAAAUUGUAACAACAGAUCGAUUGUGUACAAACACCAAUUUUAAAGCUUUUGCUUUCCAUGAAAGAAUAAAAAAAAACAUAAAAAACGAUAUUCCUCUACUACAACCCCCAAGCUGGGAAUGGUAGAGACCAAUCAGUCAUUUAUUGGAGUUUAUAAUUAAAAAAGGAUACGACGUUAGAACCUAGGGUUAGGUUUACUAUUUUUGGCUUCUGAAAAUGUUAGGGUUUAGGGAGUUGGGCUCAUUUGGGCUAGUGGGUUAGGUCUAGGGUCUGUUUAGGUGUAUUGGGCUCCAAGUUUUUUUUCUGAUUUGGGCUUGUAUUUAGGUUGUUUGGGUUUAAUUGGUUUAUUUGGUACGGGCCCGGGCAAAUUUGGGCUUCUACAUAUUAAUCUAAAUAGGUAAUAGAUAUAAAUUACGUAUUAUAAAAGAAAACUAUUUAAAAAGGGUAAAUUCUAUUGGAUUAACAUAAAAAUAUAAAAUAAUUCAUUAUGAAAUUAAAUAAUAAUAUAUGAUAAUAAUAUAAAAAAAAACUUAAAAUAAUAGUGCAUAAUAGAAUAAAAUAAUGAAUAUAAAAAGGUUAGAUAAAUUGAUAAAAAAAUAAUACUAAUAAUAAUAGUAGUAAUAAUAAUAAUAAUAAUAAUAAUAAUAAUAAUAGUAAUAAUGAUAAAUUAAUAUUAAAGUAAUUAAUUUGAUAGCAAAAAUAAUAAAAGAGAUUACUAAUUUGGAAUUAAAACAGAAAUUUAGGGGUAAGACGUGCAAUAAAAUGAAAUAAAAAGGACCUAAUUGAAAUUAAUUUAAAAUCAGACGUGACUAGCACAGAAAUUAAACGCACAAGUCUCACCUGGCAAUCUAGUAAGAUCAUCGGAAACGGCGUCGUUUCGAACGUUUGUCUCCUCAACUGACAGAAGGACGAAAUUGAAAGCAAGAUCGAAUUAUGUGGCAAAAUUAAAAAAGACAAAGAAGGAUUAAAAUGAAGUAAAUCUAAAAACGGAAGAACCAAACACGAAAAUAAGCCAUUGAAACAAAACACGCGGAUCCUCCCCGGGUCAAAUCGGAUCAUCGGGUCAACCAACACGGAGACGUUUUGAAGCCAUUAAAUCGGGCUUAAACGGCACCGUUUUAUUAUCGUUAAAAAACUAAAAAAAUAAAACCCUAAUAAGUUGUUUUGCAUUCCUAAAAAAGAUCAAGAGCCUAGCCUUUCUUCCCACCGGUCUCCAGUCACGAACCCAAUCUGACUCCGAUUCAGACGGAGCAAACCAGGUUCCAAUGGCGUCUGCUCUGGUAAGACGCUUCUUCUCUCCCUCUUUUUAUUUCGUUUGGUGCCAAAGAAGAAAACAAAGAAUCAAAGAAAUAAAAGAGAAAAAAAACGAAGAAAAUCACCUUUCGAAAAAACUUUCUGUUUUGAUUUUUUGUUUGUAUUCAAUAUGCGUAAAAAAGGGUUACAAUGGCCUUCUCCCUCUUUAUAGCCGAAUAUUCGAAAUAAAAUGAAAGAAAAUACAAAAAAUUCUCUCUGCUGCGUUGUUUUCGUCUUCUUUGCAGGUAAGGAGGCUAGCUGGCGUAAGGAGGUGGUGGAUGUGGCACAGCACACGCGGGGAAGGCCCUGGUGGCUGCGGCGCCGGAAGGAGGGCUGUUGCAGCUAGGGUUUUCUGAUUUUUUUUGUUUUGGGCUAGGGUUGUGUUGAUAGUUGUAUUGGGCUAGGUAUUUGGGCUGGGUGUAGUUGGACUAGAUGCAUCUGACUUUGGGUUUGUACCGGGUCACUGUAAAUGGGUUUGGUUUUUUAUUGUUAUUGGGCUGUGAACUAUUUGAGUUUUAAUUAAUUUUUAUUUAUUUGGUUUUUUAUUGUGGGCUGGGCAAAUUGGGUAUUACAAUCAGCUAAUUAGGAAAGACUGUGAUGAUAGUCACACCUUUCGUCCAAAAGCAAAGCUUUUUUUACAUGUGUAUGUAAGGUUGCUAAGCAAAUCGGGUGAGCCUUCACUACUGUUUUAAGGUUAAGUUAAUGUUCCUUUUCGGCAAAGAACAUUAUCGAGAUCACGGUAUUUUGAUCGCCUUUUGCUUCUUGUUAUUCGUUCUGAGACGAUUGCAUAAUCUUUACUGUGAUUGCAGGAUAUAGAGCAACUUUUGAAUUUCAUCGCUGUAAAGAGUUUAGGACCACGACAUGUUCUUGCAAAUUUGAAGAAGCUUCUAAGGUCUGUCCAGUCUUCAGAAUAUAUAGAUACCUGAAUUAAUUUUGAUUUUGUAGGAUCAACUAUAAUUAGCUACUUAUUACACUAUGAAUAGACAACCUCACCUUCUUCACACACUACACGUGCGGAUUUUUUACCAAUCCCAUUUCAAAGGAUCACACUUUUUUGUUGUUUACAGAAUCAUAAUUAAUGUUAAUUAAAGUGGAAUAUUUCAGAUUUCUGAUGAUGAGCAUAUUCUUGAGUAUUGCAGUAAAAAAAUGGGUGGGGAACUUAUUUGAACUUUGAAUGUAUGUUUUGUUGGUGAGAAUAUAAAGUUGAUAAAGAUUUGGUAAAUAGAAUAAAAUAUUAUUUUUUAUUAGAAAAAUUAUUUGGUAGACUGCCAAUCGAGUUAUAAUUAUCAUGACGCAAUAUUAAGGGUAAGUAAAACAUGUCAUAUUACAAAUAAUAAAAUUAUAAUGACUCAAAUAUACGAACAUGUCAAAAUUUAUGUACAACGAAUUAUUAACAUGUCAAUGUAUAAUAUGGUACGCAAAAAUAAGAUAAUUGCUUGUUUUUUAAUUGAAUUGUUAUAACACAUUAUACAAAUACAUUGUGAAUUAAAGCAUAAUAUGAACAUGAUAUCAAUAUAUUAAAUUUUUUAAAAAUUCGAUGAUACGAAUAAUUAUGUAAAAUAUCACAUGAUACAAAAUGACUUGAGAGGAAAAGAGGAACAAAGACUUGCAUUGUUUGUGAGGUUUUAAAAUAUUCCAGUUUUAGAUUCAAUUUUUUAGUAUGUUUGGUUUAAUUUUACAUUAGAUUUCCUUUUCGGUAUGCAUUAGUGAACUCUUGGCAGUCAAUUUAAUUUAAUUCAAAGAGAUAUUGCAUAUACAUAAUAAAUUUCGUAGAAGAAAAAAGAAAUAGAUGGUUGGAAAUGAUAAAACCAUAAGAUAAAAGAGCCUUUAUUCAAAAUGCAAAAAUCAACAAAAUAUUCAUUAUCGCUCAACUUAGCAUAAUUAAACAUUUAGGUGUGGAAAUCAAAUCACAAUUUGAGUAGCUAAACACAUUGCUUGAAAAUGUGAUAAGUAAGAAAAUUGCCCACAUUUGAGUAGCGACAGGUGGUAAUGCAUUUCCCAACAAGAGAAAACCAAGCUCUUCGCCAGUGUGGAUUUAUGUAGAGGACAACAAAAAUUGUCAACAACACAACUACAUAAGAAACCAAAAAGCUCACACAAAAAUCAUAAGUAUCUAUCAAACCAUCUUCUCCUUUAUCUUCUGAUACAGUUGAUAUCGUUGAUGGUGAAUCGGUUUUGGAACAACUUUUAUGCAAUAUAACUCCACAAAGAAACGGAUUUCCCUGAUAACUAUUUUCAAUAAAGGUCCCAAAUUGAGCUUUUGGUUCGGGAAUACUACCUGACAAGUUGUUAAAUGCCACGCUGAAAACCUCCAAAAAGUUUAACUCUACCAAUUGAUUGGGAUUUCACCACUUAAGUUGUUGUAAGAAAGGUCCAAACUCUCAAUUUGAUGUAGUUUUGAGAGUGACGAGGGUAUAACUCCGGUCAACUUAUUGUGUGAAAGGUUUAAAGAAUGGAUUUCACUCAAGUUCCCUAAUUCUGGUGGGAUAUGACCAGUUAAGUUGUUGCGAGAUAAAUCAAUCCCAGUCAUAUAUGAAAGGAUGUCGCCCUUGUAUGAAUAGAACCCACUCUUUGUUGUGAACUCUAUUACUUCUUCGAAGUAGCUACCAGGAUAGUAAGAAUCCAUUCCCAAAUUUAGUAUAUACUGCGUGUUGUUUCAUCCUCUUCCUAUAGAUGGCCCAUAGAACCCAGUUUCUAGAAAUCUUCUUCGUUUGCAUUGGAAGAGAUAAAUUUCCCAAACAAGAAGGUAUAGGACCAGAAAACAUAUUUUGAGAAAGAUCUAUGAUGCUUAAAGAAUGCAACUUGCAUAACUCAAUAGGAACUUUACCAUGAAAUGAUUAUCUUUCAAGAGAAGAACACUCAAAGAAGAAAGCGUGUAAAUCCAUUUUGGAAUACUACCUGUUCAAAUUGUUUCCUCUAAGAUCUAAAGUCACUAUUGAAGAGCUAUUAUAAAAAGCAAGUGAUAGUGGGCCUCUCAGUCUAUUCCCGUGGAG
This 36732-nucleotide long non-coding RNA is filed under the name Gossypium barbadense (sea-island cotton). Its description in RNAcentral is "long non-coding RNA (GBAR_LNC023177)". Lineage: Eukaryota; Viridiplantae; Streptophyta; Magnoliopsida; Malvales; Malvaceae. The record is from RNAcentral.